Non-coding RNA from Schistosoma mansoni, 78 nucleotides. The record is from Rfam. Lineage: Eukaryota; Metazoa; Platyhelminthes; Trematoda; Strigeidida; Schistosomatidae.
AACUUUCUAUGUCCGUGCAGAGAUUUCGUCAGACACCAACCCAAUAGGGCUGAUCAGACAUUCAAGAUAAGUGAAGUU